CCUACGGGUGGCAGCAGCGAGGAAUAUUGGUCAAUGGACGAGAGUCUGAACCAGCCAAGUAGCGUGAAGGAUGACUGCCCUAUGGGUUGUAAACUUCUUUUAUAUGGGAAUAAAAUGUUCCACGUGUGGGAUUUUGUAUGUACCAUAUGAAUAAGGAUCGGCUAACUCCGUGCCAGCAGCCGCGGUAAUACGGAGGAUCCGAGCGUUAUCCGGAUUUAUUGGGUUUAAAGGGAGCGUAGGUGGAUUGUUAAGUCAGUUGUGAAAGUUUGCGGCUCAACCGUAAAAUUGCAGUUGAAACUGGCAGUCUUGAGUACAGUAGAGGUGGGCGGAAUUCGUGGUGUAGCGGUGAAAUGCUUAGAUAUCACGAAGAACUCCGAUUGCGAAGGCAGUUCACUGGACUGCAACUGACACUGAGGCUCGAAAGUGUGGGUAUCAAACAGGAUUAGAUACCCGAGUAGUC
Molecule: ribosomal RNA, 460 nt
Filed under: uncultured bacterium
Lineage: Bacteria
Description: partial 16S ribosomal RNA
Rfam family: Bacterial small subunit ribosomal RNA
Source: RNAcentral